GUACUGGUUAACAGUUUUGCCCCAAUUAAGUUUCUGAAAAGCACUUAAAUUAACAGUUACCAAGAAGACAACUGUCAAUAGAAGAGUUUGAGAAAUAUGAGACGUAGCCUAAUUUGUGAAGGAAACAGAGAAAAAUCAGAUUCUCUGUCUCACCACAGGAGGGCAGGAAUCGCUUGAGUACUGGAGAGACUGCGACACUGUCAUACUGACUGCAUGCAUAUUGAUAAUUCUACAGCUAACACUGGAUCCGAUCUGCUCAGUCCACAGUCACCACAGUAAACAGGUCUCUGAGAGAAAGGAUGAAGACCUAAAGGGGGAAGGGAAGGAAUGAGGAGAUGAAAACAGACAUCUUCUGAAAGAUUUGAGAUGAUCUGAUUCUGGGUCUGUCCUGAACUAGGCUCGGCAGCGCCUCCUCUCUGCAGUGCCUCUGUGGAAGUGUGUCACGAGCAGACGAACCUGUGAAGCUGUACCGCAGUACCACUGAGAGUGUUAUUGCCGGUGACAGUGCACUCCAUUGUAGAGUACCGCAUCCACAACGGGAUCGAAACCACCUCCUAACAUUCAUUCCCAAAUCUGAACGACCAUAUGGAGCCCAAACCGUCCACCCUGAAGACUCUUUCUAUUUUUAGAACGAUUGUCUUCCUUCUGUUGGGGUCAAGGUCGGUUAAGGGGGAAGGUCAAUAGCAGCAACGCGUUGGCCGGCUGGCGCACGUAGACGUUACAGCCGGUGACCCCGCUGAAAACACACGCAGAUGCACGGAGAACUGCCACGCUUAUGUUGAUCUGCAUACCAAAUGUAAUACCACCCCAAAAUUCAGAUUCGACCCCCCACACAUGAACUCUGACCUCCCCUACAUAAUUAGAGAGCGCGAGUGAGCGGAGCGGCUCUAUUUGUCUCAUUUUGUGGGUAAUGUGGUGAUGGAGGGGAGAAGUGGGGGAGGGAUGUUGGUCCCCACCUGACUCAACCCUCCUCCACAUCACUCCCUCGGACUCCUCCUCAGGGGGAAGAGGAUUUAUUGUGCACGCGCUAGAGUGUGUGUGUUUGUGUGUGUGUGUGUGUGUGUGUGUGUGUGUGUGAGGGAGAAAGGCACGUGCCAAGUGUCUGGUGCUGAAUCAUACCUACCCCCCCCCCCCAACCUCGAGGCCACAUUGAAUUUACACACAACACACUCAUAUGAACACACACAGUGUAGUUUCACUGCAUACACACUUAUUAACACUAAGACACUCAGACUGAAAGUGUUUUAACAAUUCUCUCAUCUUUAGAUAAAGUAUGUUGUGGUGUCCAGUAAAGACAGUUCAGUGCAGUUCAUAUUGGAUUGAACUGUAUAAAUGUGGCCUGGAUUUGUUGACAGAAACAUUCUUGCAAAAUAAAUAAAUAAAAUCGAAAAAUAAAGCACACUCCUUUCGAUAUAGUGUUGCACAGCAUCAUGGUCCACAAGCAGUAUAGCCAGUAGUCAUGGAAACAAGAAGAUAUAUGUAGGUUUAGCUCCUCAUGAAAAAAGUAUUUUUAAUUCUCAAAAGUCAUAAAUAUUACGUAAUAUAGCAUUGUAUAAUAUUAUUAGUAUUAAAAUACACAAUAACAAUAUUAUAUAGC
This is a long non-coding RNA of Onychostoma macrolepis, 1597 nucleotides long. RefSeq lists it as uncharacterized. NCBI's taxonomy places the organism in Eukaryota, Metazoa, Chordata, Actinopteri, Cypriniformes, Cyprinidae. The transcript is spliced from 5 exons. The record is from RefSeq and is a predicted model, not a curated record.